UACGAAGGGGGCUAGCGUUGCUCGGAAUCACUGGGCGUAAAGGGUGCGUAGGCGGGUCUUUAAGUCAGGGGUGAAAUCCUGGAGCUCAACUCCAGAACUGCCUUUGAUACUGAAGAUCUUGAGUUCGGGAGAGGUGAGUGGAACUGCGAGUGUAGAGGUGAAAUUCGUAGAUAUUCGCAAGAACACCAGUGGCGAAGGCAGUUAACUAUUCUGCUACUGACAUUGAGGCACGAAAGCGUGGGGAGCAAAACGG
RNAcentral lists this ribosomal RNA (253 nucleotides) under uncultured bacterium. RNAcentral's name for it is "partial 16S ribosomal RNA". It matches the Rfam family "Bacterial small subunit ribosomal RNA", at positions 524 to 776 of the family's 1533-position model. The record is from RNAcentral.